UGCUACACUCCUACUUAUCUUCCAGAUUUUUUUUUAUUUUUUUAUUAGGGUUCUACGCACUCUCCUCUCCAAAUCACAUGCUCGGAUCGCCUUUUCGAUCGAUCCGAAGCUACUACACGAGGGGUGCGAGAUCGAUCGAUCUCAGUGGCGCCUCUGGACGUGCGGUUUCCCCGAUCUCGAUCUCGUGGAUCCUCGCAUUUUCUCGGUUCAAUGAUGAUGAUUUGCUUUAACCACACCGAAUUCGAAGGCCUAAAGGGGAGAUUUCUCAAUUUCAUCUUUUUUUUUUUAGUGCUCUGCUUGCUUGGUUUCAUCUUGUGACCUCGCUUCCUCUUCUUGAAGAAGAUGAACAUAUUUACGUCUUCGUCUUCUUCAUUUAGAGGAGGGGAGUGAGGGUGAGACUAAGCUUGGAGAGCAUGAGAUGGGAUGGGAUGAUCUCUUCUUGUGGAGCUUUGUUGUGAGGAAAACUAUGGCCCAUAAUACUGAGAACCCUAAUUAUGCUUUGGCGAAAAUGUAUCAAAAUUAUCUGAAUUAUAAUCAUUUUGAUUCAAAACUAUCUAGUUUUUAAUUGUUUUGUUUGUUGCUUAACCUUUCAACUCUUUUUCAUAUGAACUAUGUGAUGGUUCCUUUCUUUCUAAGUUUGAGCUUUAUUGUAUUUUUUUUUUAAUGAAACUAUAGCUAUUUGCAUGGUUAUAAUCAAAGAAAGUGAAAAAUUAGGUGUUUUAGUUUGGCAUUUUUGUAAAAAUUUUACUUCAAUUUAUUAUUUUAUUGAGAUAAUUUUUUUUUCCUUAGAUUUUAAUAUCUUAUUUAGUCAAUAACCAUUAGCUAUAUUAAUUUUAUUUGCUAAAAUGAUCGGAAGGUAUUAAUGAAAUCUCUUAUUUAACUAGUUAAAAUAACUUAAUUUUUUGAUCAAAUCCCCUUCUUGCAAUUCUUCCUUUUUAAUAUUUAUAUAUUAAAAAAAAACUAAGGGUAUGCUAACAAAAAAAAUAUUGAGAGGCGAUUUGAAAUGGCAUAUAAUAAAGGGUAUUCGAAUUUAGAAAGUAUUGUAGUGUCAAAUUUUACAGAGACUUAGAAGGAAAACAAUUAUACCUCCAAUUAUACGUUGUUUGGACACAACUGUUAAAAGAGUAACACUAUUUAUUUUUAUUUUUUUUUACAAAAAUUUUGAACCUAAAAAAAUGUAUUAAGGGGCUCUACUUCAUUAUGAACCACAAGAUAUGAUGUUCUUGAGUGCCGUGUUUAUUAUGUGUGGUCAAAAUGUUGCUGAUGAUAAGAGUUGUUUUUUGUUCUGUGAAUUUAAAUUCAGUUAUCUUAAUAUAUAUAGAUUUACUAUGAUAAGGAGCAUUCAUUACAAGAAUCAAAUAUUUUUGUUACGAAUAUGCAAAAGUCAAAGAGCAAAGCCGGGCAGUGACCCAGAGAAAACCCUAGGCAUGGGGUAUCUCAAUGUCUGAUCUGGAUUUAGUAGUUUACUGUCGUUCUUCGGGGUGGACAUUCUGGAGCUGUAUCAGAUUAGUAGAUAGCUGGUUUUAACUGGGAGGUAAGUUGAGGCAAUGGUGAGUUUACUUGUUUGUUGCUGCAUGCGGCGAAGUUUUUAGCCGUGCCGCAGGUAAAGCUACGCAUUGAAGUUGCGGGCGGCUCAUUUCUAUUAUCACUCAGCAGUGAAGCUGCGGUGUUUCCAACGUCGAUAAGGGUGUGGCAGAGUAAGUUUAUAGCUCGAGUUGCUGGGGUUUGUUGCAUUGCAGAUAGUACCGAGCCCCGCUACUCAGCAGUGUAUUUUUGUUACAACAAUCUAAGUUAGGGGUGUUUCUAUUUUUAGCAAGGGCUGCAACUUUCUAGUGUCCAGUUGAAUGAGGUGCUGCAGUGAAUAGUUAGAAUCAAAAGUGGUCUGAAUCAUCACCCACCUGCUUCUUGAUUGCCUGCUUAUCGCCUGCUAAAAGUGUGCAUUGUAAAACAGCUGCUCUGUUUCAAGGAGGAGGAAUUUAUACUAAGAUACUGUAGGAUUCCAACUGCAGAUAUUUAAGUCGCUUUUUUAA
This is a long non-coding RNA of Ananas comosus (pineapple), 2030 nucleotides long. RefSeq lists it as uncharacterized. Lineage: Eukaryota; Viridiplantae; Streptophyta; Magnoliopsida; Poales; Bromeliaceae. The transcript is spliced from 2 exons. The record is from RefSeq and is a predicted model, not a curated record.